CGCGACCGCCUUUUCCUUGCAGGAGGGAAACUUCUCCCAGCAACUUUUUUUUUUGGUGUGAGAGUGUGUGCGUGGUGCGUGUGUGUGUGUGUGUGUCUCCCUUUUGGGUACCGCUGGCUGCCGCUGCCUCCUUUUUCUCCAGCCCCUGUCUAUUUAUGUGUGUAUCUAUCCCUCCUCAAGUCACUCCCUGCUGCAAACUUCCCCGGAUCGUCUCCCGCGCACCAGAGAGAGACGGGCAGAGAUUGGGUCGGGGACUCUCGUCGCGGCAGCAUGUUUCAGCCCACACCCAAGCGGUGUUUCACCAUCGAGUCGCUGGUGGCCAAAGACAGCCCCUUGCCCGCGUCUCGCUCCGAGGAUCCUAUCCGGCCGGCGGCGCUCAGCUAUGCCAAUUCCAGCCCGAUGAACCCUUUUCUCAACGGCUUCCACUCCACUGGCAGGGGGGUCUACUCCAACCCGGACUUGGUCUUUGCAGAGGCCGUCUCCCACCCGCCGAACCCGGCCGUGCCGGUCCACCCCGUGCCCCCUCCUCACGCCCUGGCCGCCCACCCGCUGCCUGCUUCGCACUCCACGCACCCGCUCUUCGCCUCGCAGCAAAGGGACCCCUCCACCUUCUACCCGUGGCUAAUACACCGCUACCGGUAUCUGGGCCACAGGUUCCAAGGGAAUGAAACCAGCCCGGAGAGCUUCCUAUUGCACAAUGCACUGGCCAGGAAACCCAAACGGAUCCGUACAGCUUUCUCCCCAUCCCAAUUACUGAGACUGGAACAUGCCUUUGAGAAGAACCAUUAUGUAGUAGGAGCAGAGAGAAAACAGCUGGCACACAGCCUCAGCCUCACGGAAACUCAGGUAAAAGUAUGGUUUCAGAACAGACGGACAAAGUUCAAGCGGCAAAAGUUGGAAGAGGAAGGUUCAGACUCACAACAGAAGAAAAAAGGGACUCAUCACAUUAACCGGUGGAGAAUCGCCACCAAGCAAGCCAGUCCAGAGGAAAUCGACGUCACGUCGGACGAUUAAAAACUGGCACUUUUGGACUUUUGCAAGCCAGCACCCCACCAACCGAAAGUGUUAAAGGCUCACCCCCCCACCCCCUCCACCCCCGCGGCGUGGCGGUGCGGGGAAGGACACGGAGAUCUUCAUCCAAACGCGAUUCCCACCCGGGAGGGAGCUGGGAGAGAGCGAGGGCCAGCCAGCGAGGGCUCCGAACUGUGGCACUGCCGGCACCGCUCUGGCAAAGGGGAUCUGUCAAUCAAAGCCAAAACACCGGGACGAGGUGAUUGACAGUGCUGGGAUGCUGUGCAGGUGACCAUACAGUGAAAGCCCCUUCAGCAGAAGGCACAGCAGACGUGUCACUGACCCUCUCGUAGUUUUUCCAGAGUGAAAAGAAUUCAGAAGAAGAAGAAGAAGAU
Non-coding RNA from Lonchura striata (white-rumped munia), 1406 nucleotides. The record is from RefSeq and is a predicted model, not a curated record. Lineage: Eukaryota; Metazoa; Chordata; Aves; Passeriformes; Estrildidae.